This 950-nucleotide ribosomal RNA is filed under the name Rana taihangensis. RNAcentral describes it as "partial 16S ribosomal RNA". It matches the Rfam family "Bacterial large subunit ribosomal RNA", at positions 970 to 2561 of the family's 2925-position model. Lineage: Eukaryota; Metazoa; Chordata; Amphibia; Anura; Ranidae. The record is from RNAcentral.
UUUAGACUUAAGAGCUAUUCAAAUAAGGCACAGCUUAUUUGAAAUAGGACACAACCUACAACAUAGGGUAAACUAGAGUGACCUAAAUAAAGUGGGCCUAAAAGCAGCCACCUUUAGAAAAGCGUUAAAGCUUAACUACCUUCACUCAUAAUGCCUAAAAUCUCCACUAACCCUUCAUUACUACUGAACAAUUUUAUACUCAUAUAAAAGCUAUCAUGCUAGAACUAGUAACAAGAAACUGCUUUUCUCCUAAAUGUAAACAUAAACCAAAAUAGACUCUCUAUUGGUUAUUAACGUAAAUGCUAAACUGUAGCAACACUCACUAGAAAAUCCUAUAAACCCCAACGUUAACCUUACACCAGAACAUUACAGGAAAGAUUAAAAGAAAAAGAAGGAACUCGGCAAAUUUUAGCCUCGCCUGUUUACCAAAAACAUCGCCUCUUGACAAAACAUAAGAGGUCCAGCCUGCCCAGUGACAAAGUUCAACGGCCGCGGUACCCUAACCGUGCAAAGGUAGCACAAUCACUUGUUCUUUAAAUGAGGACUUGUAUCAACGGCACUACGAGGGCUAUACUGUCUCCUUUUUCUAAUCAGUGAAACUGAUCUCCCCGUGAAGAAGCGGGGAUUAUAAUAUAAGACGAGAAGACCCCAUGGAGCUUUAAACUCACCAUGCACCUCUGUGCUCCUAUACCCCUAAACACAACAGACCUGCAUGUUAGUUUUAGGUUGGGGUGACCACGGAGUAUAACUUAACCUCCACAGCAAACGGGCUAAUACCCUUAUCCACGAGACACAACUCUAAGAAUUACUAAACUAAUGCUUACGACCCGAUAUUCGAUCCAUGAACCAAGUUACCCUGGGGAUAACAGCGCAAUCUACUUCAAGAGCCCAUAUCGACAAGUAGGUUUACGACCUCGAUGUUGGAUCAGGGUAUCCCGGUGGUGCAGCCG